ACCUUAAUACACUAUAAUAUUUGGUCUUUUCAAUCUCAAUUACUAUCAAAUAUCAAAUGUAUAUCAUUUCAAAAUUACAUAAAAAGAUCCCUCUGAAUAACACACACCAUAUCCUGAAAAACAAGAUACCACUGAACUAUCCAUAGAACAAAAGCAAGAAACAGACAAUAAAACCUGACCAAUCAGAACUAGCUCAGAAAACAACUAUGUUAAUUGUUAAUUGUUAGUAAAGACUUUGCACUUGAAGCACAAUGUAUUUCUGAAAUGAUCAUUUGAUAUUUGUUCUGUCAAUGGCAAAUUGUUUUCAAAUUAAGAUAAAUAUUCUGUUACAAAAUUC
Molecule: long non-coding RNA, 337 nt
Filed under: Mytilus galloprovincialis (Mediterranean mussel)
Lineage: Eukaryota; Metazoa; Mollusca; Bivalvia; Mytilida; Mytilidae
Source: RNAcentral